GUCCGAUUUCUCUCUCCCUCGUCUUUCUUAAAAGCUUAGCUGGGGCUCCCCGGUGUCCUCGGGGCCAGCGCGGGUCUCUCUCUGCUUGGCGCCAGGAUGAUCCCACGUGCAGGUGAACCUGGGAUCGGGGAAAGGGGACACGCAGGCGGCUUUAGAGGCGCCAGGGAGGCGGCUGGUGCUCAAACAGCCCGGUGUCUAGUUAGUCCCCACCGGGGAGAUUCCUGAGCUCUAGAAACCUUUCCCUGCCUUUCAACGUUUUGCGUUCUCAUUUGUGGCUGGGGGAGCCGAUACAGGCUGGGCAGCAGCAGAUAGCUAAGGUGUGGGGCAAGGAUCGUCCCGGAGCAUCAUUCUAAAAUAGGGUGGGUGGGGCGGGGGGGGGAGAAACUUUCUCCACACCACCCCGGCCUCCUGCCACGCUAUUUCUCUCCUCCCAGUCCAGACCCAGCCGGGUAAUUUCUUUUCCAGAGGGUGAUGACCAGAAGGACAUUCAAAGAGUAAUGCUGGAUCCGGCCAGCGACCCACUGCAUCCUGGUCUCCCAGUGGUCAAGCUGGAUGCCCGUGGGAAACUCGUGUGCCGGACCCCAGAGCGCUCUCCCCUCCUGGGGGCCAAGGGAUGGAUGGGGAAAGGCAAAUGGCGACGGCGAAAAAAUCUGUGGCUGCCACAGCCCUGCCAAGGAGGAUGUGGAAAUGCCCUCCUCCUGGUUAAAGGAAGGGUUGAGCGCCCGUUCCCCGCUCUGCCGCUAUUCAGACGUGUUUCCAAAGCGAGUGCCAUUCUAACAGGAGAGCGGAUCCUUUUCUCCUGCUAAUUUUCUCACCGGCGGUCGAUACGAAACCACCCGUGAAAAAGCAAAGAGAAAUUCCAAUGGAUAUAUUUUUAUUUUAAAAGAAAAGAAUGCUUUUAGGUUUAGAGCAAGAUCAGAUUGGGGGUGGGAAGGAUGAAACAUCACACCUGUAACGUUAUGGUCCUGAGCAUUUUCUUCUCUGCAAUGUAUGGCACCGAGUAGGCGCUCAGUCCGCUGCUUGGGAAUGAAUUAGUGAAGUGGUUUGGCGUUUCUAGCGGAAUUGCUAGAUGUCCAGCCGUUAGAAUAAAGAAGAGCGCGCUCCGUAUUUACUCCUGAGUAGUCACAUUGGAUAGAUGGGUUAUGAUCGUCGAAGGCUGCGAGUACAAUUUCUUGGGAGUCCUGCUGAACCGAUUACUGUGCAGUAUUAGCAACUUCUGAACAAAUGCACAUAGGAUCGCGCUGCCCAUUAUGUAGGCGACCACUUGAGGCACGCUUUUUUGAGAGAAGUCUCAUUGAGCAGUGAGGUCUACCUCUGAGCAAACACGCGCGUUUCCCAAUUCAUUGGAUUUGGAAAUAGGAAGGAAACAAACAUUUGGCACCUGUGUGGUCAGCCUGGAAAGACUAAUAAAACAGAAGUCUCCAGUUGGCAAAAUGUAAACAGAGAAUAUUUUAAAAGCUCUGUAUGAGAGCCCCCAGUUUCCCCUUACCCUUUCGGGGGCUCCGGUGCCUUUAAAACUUGAUUGACAAACAGAAACCCAGCAGGUUAAUACCAUUUCAUGUGCUCAGCUUCAAUAUGCAAACUUCCCUGGCUGUUUCUGGCCAAAGGAAAUCGGUCCUUUGAUCUCUUACGUCACAGCGCAACCCUAGCCCUGUUUACUCAGAAGCGUGUCCUAUUGAAUCCAGUGCGGGAUUACCCCCCAGGCGUGUGGGGCUAGGACUACAGCCUAAACUGGCAAAGUAAAUAUGGUGAAGGAUCGCAGCUCAGUGGCAUAGCAUCUGAUUGGCAUGCAGAAGGUCCCAGGUUCAGCCCACAGCGGCAGCGAGGAGACACUCCUCGCCUGAAACGCUGCUGCUUGUCCGUGUAGAGAAAACUGUGCUGAAUGGACCGUUGUGCUGCUGUGUGCAAUCGUCUGGCAGUUCCCCCGUUGAAGGUCUGGGGGCUGCAGGCACAGCAGAAUCACAGGAAACUUUAACUCACAUAUAUCCAUUUCCUCUCUUAAAGGGGAUUUAUUUCUUCUUCCAUUCAUUCAUCCGUUUCGUCUGAAUCAACAAACACCCUCUGUUUAGACACGGGAUUCGAUAUCCCCGGACGAAGCUCAGAGCAAGCAGAAUGUAGUCGGGUGCUGACCAAUCCAGGACCUGCCUGAUUUCCUAUAAUGUUAGUAUUUGAUUUUCAGGCACCGGGUCGACAGCCUGGACGUGGGUAAAGCUACUGUUUAGUAUCCCACAUAAAAUGUCCAAAGGAGCGUCAAAUUUGAUCUCAGGGAGUGGUUGGGAGGUGAAGGGGUCCAGAGACAACCCCCUAAAUCUCUGACGUGCACAGGGAUUGGGUCAAAGCAGUAGUAAGGAGUUGCAGUUGUCUUGGGGGGACACAGGAUUGCUGGGUCUGAAAGAAACGUUAAAGCAAUCUCGUAGGAAGAGUUAGUUGCCCUUUUCACAGAACCAUAGAACUGGAAGGAAUUCCCCAGGGUCAUCUAGUCCAACCCCCUGCAAUGCAGGAAUUUUGACACACACACACACACUUUAAGGAAGGAGGGUGGGGAAAUUGGGGAAAGAACAAAUUGUGUGCUUGCUAUUGAAAGACUCUGUGGUAUACUCCUGAACCCAAGAUGCUCUUGAGCCGCAAGGGUUGAGAACUGCUGGGUCCUUGCGAGGGUGACCAGUCCUCAGAAAGGAGCAACAAUGCCUAGUGGUUUGAUGGGAUGGGGAUGUUACAGAUGCCCUGGUACUGUAGCUAGUUGUUCAGCAAGUGAUGGACCUGGGGGCUGAGGUCUAGGGCCUCACAGCCCAAGGGACCACCCAGACAGUGGGAUAUGAUGGAAGCAGCUGCAAAGAGGCCCUGCUCACCACAGCAUCUUUCCUUUCCCCCUUUUCUUUUAAACUUGCAGGGAAGACAUGGCCAACUGGACAUGUAUGUGGCCCUCCUCCAGAUGUUGCUGAACUACAAAAACAAAUUUAGGCAAGACUUAUAAAAUAUAUUGAAAUAAACAGGG
This 2995-nucleotide long non-coding RNA is filed under the name Podarcis lilfordi (Lilford's wall lizard). The record is from RNAcentral. Lineage: Eukaryota; Metazoa; Chordata; Lepidosauria; Squamata; Lacertidae.